UAACUUCAUGAAGGGUAUUUAUCAGAAAUCCUGUAUCAAACAUCAUAAUGGUAAAAAUAUUAGAAACCAGAACCGACUAACAGAUAUUGUUCACUAUUGUCUCAAUUAGUCCACAUCGACAGACCUGGUCAGUACAGUGAGACCAAGAGAAGAAAUGAGGGAAAGAAGGGACCAACACUGCCAUCAUUUGCAGGUGGAGCUAUGUAGAAGACCCCCUUCCCAGCCUGGGGCCCUCGCAGCACCUCCCCCCAUGCAGGUACAGUAUCAGAAUCUCCAGGAGGGGGAGUGAGAGGAGAGAUGCCAAGUUUCAGCCACAGGAUUUUAAAAGCUCCCCUUGGAGCUGCAGGACCGGAAGGCCGGAAAAAGGAUUGGCAGGAAGAAGAAUUUCUUCUCUUUGCUCCCUGGAAUUCUACCUGUAUCUUGAAAUUCCUGCCAAAGCCCCCAGCCUAAGGCAUUGCACGAUUUAAACAUCAAUUGAAUUUCAACCAGAAACGCUGUGAAUUUUAUAAAUGGAAGCCACGCCUCAGCUCUUCUCCUGGUUCCCUAGAGAGACGGCCUGGAGGUGGGGUAGGGCUGAGCAGAAUCCAGGCGAGACCGAGGGCGGGUCCCCUGUGGCCAGUGCUCACACAGCCACAUGGCCAGUUACCAGUGGGACUGCAGGUGGUGAUGGUCACCACCGGCGGGUCUCGGUUCCCUCGCUGCUGAAACAAGGGGGCCAGACCUGUUGACCUUUGAUCUCCCUCCAGCUUAGAAGAUCAGUGAUUCUACGGGUGGACAUUAAGCAGUGUGACUGCAGUAGACUUACAUUUAAUACAGUGUGAGUGUGAGUGUGUGUGUGUGUGUGUGUGUGUGUGUGUGUGUGUGUGUGUGUAGGGGGCGUUUAAAGUUCAACUGAUUUUUACAGCCUUGGGGUGGGGAAGGUUUUAAAAAAUAUGACCCCAAACCCAGAAACAUGAAAGAGAAGAUUCAAAAAUUCAACUACAUAAAAAUCCCCUGUAUGGAAAAAAGAACCUAUAAAAUAGUCAAGACGAAAGAUAAACUGAAAAGCAUAUGCCAAAUCAAAGGGCUAACUUCUUUAGUAGAGUGCCUCCAAAUCAAAAAGAAAAAAACCAACACCCAGAGAAACAGGCAAAAUCUAUAGACACUAAUAGCCAGUAACAUCUGGAAUAUGCCCAGUCUUAUAAGAGGAUGCAAAGUUAAGCAAUGGGGUGGUCUGUCUUUCCCCUGUAAUACUAUGAACAAGGUGCCCUGGCACAUUGCUGGUGGGGUGCACACUGAUUAAGCCUCUCUGGAUGGCAGUUGGACAAUCUCUGUCAAAUUUAAAAUUCCCAUAAGUUUUGACUUGGGAAUUAUACUCCCAGGAACUUAUACAACAUAUAUUUUGGUAAGUGGGAAAAGGGUGUGUAUUCAGUUUAAUUACCAUGGCAUGGUCAGAGCAAAGGAUUGGAAACCAGCUGCUAAUAGUGGAUCAAUGAAAUAGAUUGCUGUAUGUCCACAAUGGAAUAAAACUUGCUCAAGGAAUAAGGCAGCUCUGUAUUUACUGAUGUGUAUCUCUAACAUACAUAGGUAAGUGCAGAAAAGCAAGGUGCAGAAUGGCCCAUAUGGCCUGCCAACUUUUGCACUGUUUAUAUGGCUGUCUCUGGAGGAUGCCCAUGGAACUUGUCACUGUGCUUGUCUCCAGAGAGGAGACCGGGUAUCUGGGGCAAUGGAAAUCAGAGGGGAAUGCAUUGUAUACUUUAAAAUUUUGUC
This is a long non-coding RNA of Physeter macrocephalus (sperm whale), 1749 nucleotides long. RefSeq lists it as uncharacterized. The record is from RefSeq and is a predicted model, not a curated record. NCBI's taxonomy places the organism in Eukaryota, Metazoa, Chordata, Mammalia, Artiodactyla, Physeteridae. The transcript is spliced from 3 exons.